This 605-nucleotide long non-coding RNA is filed under the name Oryza sativa (Asian cultivated rice). RNAcentral describes it as "long non-coding RNA (OSAT_LNC001937)". Lineage: Eukaryota; Viridiplantae; Streptophyta; Magnoliopsida; Poales; Poaceae. The record is from RNAcentral.
UUUUGGCCUAACCCACCAAAAUUCUUGCGAGUGUAAAUAAAUCAUCCACCUCCCAGCACACAUACGCCAACAUUUUGCUCAGUUGUUAAAGGAGAGUAUCAUUCCCUCGCACACCUUCAAAUAUGGAUAAAUUAAGGUAUAAAUGUAUAAGAACAUGUCAUGUUAACAUAAGAUUGUAGUCAUGUAACAUAAUAUUUUUAGCUGCACAUGCAGAAAUAUAAACAAUAUUUGUUGAAAUUGGAGCGCAGAUCCCUAUAAUGCGUUAUAAUAAAAAAAUAUAGCAGAGUUGGGAGAAUUGUGUGGUCGAGAUCUGCAAAGGUGCAAAACCAGUUCCUGGGCCAAUCAAGAUAAAUGGUGGAAGUGAAGGAUCAGCAGGAUGUUUAAAGUUAGAUUCUCACAAAAAUUGGAAACCAGCUGCAGUUCUUGGUCUGUUGUGAUGGUAUAGCAUUCUGCAAAAUUGAUUACAACAAGAGAUAAAUUGAUGAUAAAGGCGCAACAACAAAAGGAAGUUACCUAAAAUGAGAUGACAGCACGAUACCUCAAUGCAUUUAUGCAUCACUUUCUAAACUCAUUCACUUAGCUCGCAGGUCUUUGUGUGUUGAAAG